Molecule: RNA transcript, 1952 nt
Organism: Drosophila rhopaloa
Lineage: Eukaryota; Metazoa; Arthropoda; Insecta; Diptera; Drosophilidae
Gene name: PAX-interacting protein 1-like
Exons: 5
Source: RefSeq, a predicted model, not a curated record
UCGGGAACUGUGCAAUUGUCCGGCCCUCCGUGGAGCCUUGCGACCUGAACUGAAUAAAAGGUGUUUUGCCAGAGCCAAACGGCAGUGCCUCUACCAUCUAUUGGACUCCGACUCCGCCAUCUGGCCCAGGGAAUCAAAACAAACAAAUCAUUGCACAAACAGGCCACCUUUAUAUACAUACAUAUAUUCCGGAGAUAUGUACUCGGAUGUGCGUGAGUGGAUUGGUGGGUGUGUUUUCCUUGCCUGAGGCAUCGCGGCAAAAGUCGCGCGCGGAUUGUGCGGUGGAUUUAUGUGCGCGCAUAAAAUUUGUUUUUCUAAUUAGUUUUAUUCGACAAAAAACAAUUUAAUUUCCUUAUAAAGAUAAUACGUCAACAAGUGUCAAAAUAAAAAGCAUCAUAAAUAAUUGCGAAUCGUCAGACAAAAGAAAAUUCUUAAACUCAAACAAACGACAAAGAAAAGUGCACAAUAAACGCGUGUGAGAAAAAACAAUACAAAGAGCAAAGUAUUUCCAGGGGUCCGCCUAUUAAAACAAUGAUUUCCUCAAGGGGAAACGGAAUGAUCUUCAAAAUGUAUUGGCUAAUUCUGAUACUAAUGCCCCUCACUUGGGCCAACACCAGUGAUUUAAAGGGAGCCUUUGUAAUGACCACAGUAGCUCCCACUUCGAGUCAUCGAAAUGCCCACCAGCAGCAAAGAUUGCAGCGAUUGCAGGAGGCACAGCAACUGGAAACCCAUCAGCAACAUCAUCAUCAUCUGCGGCACGAGCAGCAUUUGCGGUCCGAAUUGGAGGGGAAUCAUCAGCCGCCAAUCGGGGACUUUGAAAUGGGUGGAUCCAAGAAGCCCUUCGAUCCACUGUUGCCCAUGCAGCAGCACCACUUGCGUCAUCACAAUCGCCACCAUCUGAGUUGGGAGCAGAGGGUGUUUCCCUCACUGCGACACCAGCAACACCGCUUGUCCCUAGGAACCAGCACUCCAAGAAAUAUCUUUACCUCGGAGGCACCCACAACCACUCAUCACGGCUUGAUCACAAAUCAUACUCGCUAUUUCGACAGGGAUGGCAUCUUCCCCUCUUGGGCUGAACCUCGAACUACCAGAGGUCCCAAUUGGCGACAGGAAGUGGAUUCCAGUAGCUCCGAUGGCGAAAGCGAUGAGGACGAAGACGACGAGGACGACGAUUAUGAGUACGAAGAUGACUCCGAUUCUGAUGGUGUGGAUGAAGAACUAGCCCGACAAAUGCCCAGAUACUCUUUGUUCACCCAAAAACUACCCCACAUUGACUUGAAAGAACAAGAGUACGAUGCUGUUGAUCAAUCGGACGAAUUGGAUAUAGUUUCGAAUAAUAAUCAUUAUAGCAACAAGCAUCCCAGUGUGGCCAAUCCACACGAUAAGUCAGCUGGCAAACGCAAUAUAUUUGCUUGGCUGUUCAAACAAGAUGUGGAAAAAGAGGUAGUUAAAGCACCGCACACCACAACUACUACAACGACCACAACCUCGACCACAACUGUGAAGCCCAUAACACGCACUGAAAGGCCAAAACUACAAUUAAUAGAUGCCAAUCUUAAGAACAACGGUGGCGAAGAGGACUACUCGAACGAGGAUUCGGAUUCCGAGUCGGAAGAGGGAUUCUCCAACGAACAGUGGAACAAAAUCGAGCACGAACAUCACCUCAAGCAGCAGAAACACCAGAAGGAACUAUUGGCGAUGCGUGAGAAGAGCUGGAAUACCCCUCUCAUAAGAAACAUUGAGAAUGAGGUGAGUUCUGGCAGUGACAUUUUCGAGAUUGAUUUUGAGGAAUGCCCAAUGAUUUGAAGGUGGAUAUGGUGAGUUCUGGCAGUGACAUUUUCGAGAUUGAUUUUGAGGAAUGCCCAAUGAUUUGAAGGUGGAUAUGGAUGUGAACAACAUCUACGCACGCAACUACAUAGCCGGCAAGCCAAUCCAGAAGAAGGACGAGCAGC